UACGAAGGGGGCUAGCGUUGCUCGGAAUCACUGGGCGUAAAGCGCACGUAGGCGGAUCUUUAAGUCAGGGGUGAAAUCCUGGAGCUCAACUCCAGAACUGCCUUUGAUACUGGGGAUCUCGAGUCCGGAAGAGGUGAGUGGAACUCCGAGUGUAGAGGUGAAAUUCGUAGAUAUUCGCAGGAACACCAGUGGCGAAGGCGGCUUACUGGUCCAUAACUGACGCUGA
RNAcentral lists this ribosomal RNA (226 nucleotides) under uncultured bacterium. Its description in RNAcentral is "partial 16S ribosomal RNA". It matches the Rfam family "Bacterial small subunit ribosomal RNA", at positions 524 to 749 of the family's 1533-position model. The record is from RNAcentral.